RNAcentral lists this ribosomal RNA (62 nucleotides) under Orchidaceae environmental sample. Its description in RNAcentral is "partial 5.8S ribosomal RNA". Lineage: Eukaryota; Viridiplantae; Streptophyta; Magnoliopsida; Asparagales; Orchidaceae. The record is from RNAcentral.
UCGAGACCGAAAUAAGAGAUCGAGCGAUUCGGAGAACAAGUCACAUACGCGGCGGCGAUUGC